AGUGGCGCACGGGUGCGUAACGCGUGGGAAUCUGCCUUGGGGUUCGGAAUAACAGCGGGAAACUGCUGCUAAUACCGGAUGAUGAUGCCUGGAGAGAUCUGGGGGUCCAAAGAUUUAUCGCCCUGAGAUGAGCCCGCGUCCGAUUAGCUUGUUGGUGGGGUAAAGGCCUACCAAGGCUUCGAUCGGUAGCUGGUCUGAGAGGAUGAUCAGCCACACUGGGACUGAGACACGGCCCAGACUCCUACGGGAGGCAGCAGUGGGGAAUAUUGGACAAUGGGCGCAAGCCUGAUCCAGCAAUGCCGCGUGAGUGAUGAAGGCCUUAGGGUUGUAAAGCUCUUUUACCCGGGAUGAUAAUGACAGUACCGGGAGAAUAAGCUCCGGCUAACUCCGUGCCAGCAGCCGCGGUAAUACGGAGGGAGCUAGCGUUGUUCGGAAUUACUGGGCGUAAAGCGCGCGUAGGCGGCUUUGUAAGUUAGGGGUGAAAGCCCGGUGCUCAACACCGGAAUUGCCUUUAAGACUGCAUCGCUUGAAUCCAGGAGAGGUGAGUGGAAUUCCGAGUGUAGAGGUGAAAUUCGUAAAUAUUCGGAAAAACACCAGUGGCGAAGGCGGCUCACUGGACUGGUAUUGACGCUGAGGGGCGAAAGCGUGGGGGAGCAAAC
Molecule: ribosomal RNA, 659 nt
Filed under: uncultured Sphingomonadales bacterium
Lineage: Bacteria; Pseudomonadati; Pseudomonadota; Alphaproteobacteria; Sphingomonadales
Description: bacterial SSU rRNA
Rfam family: Bacterial small subunit ribosomal RNA
Source: RNAcentral